Long non-coding RNA from Quercus lobata, 3736 nucleotides. RefSeq lists it as uncharacterized. The record is from RefSeq and is a predicted model, not a curated record. NCBI's taxonomy places the organism in Eukaryota, Viridiplantae, Streptophyta, Magnoliopsida, Fagales, Fagaceae. The transcript has 9 exons.
AAUUAGAAGAUAUUGAAAAAGGCCUUUUGGCACCAUUGUUAUUAAGUUAUUAUGAACUACCCUCAACAAUGAGACGUUGUUUCUCAUAUUGUGCUAUCUUUUCAAAAGAUUAUCUCUUUUCCAGAGAUAAAUUGGUCCUCCAUUGGAUGGCACAAGGAUAUGUUGAGUCAAAGGCAAAUAUGGAGAUGGAAGUCAUAGCGGAAGAAUACUUUGAAAAGUUAGCCAUGCGUUCUUUCUUCCAAGAUUUCGAGAGACAUGAAAAUAGUGAUGGCAAGAUAAUAAGUUGCAAAAUGCAUGAUAUAGUGCAUGACUUUGCCCAAUUAAUGGCAAAAAAUGAUUCCUUUGAAAUUGAUGGUGAUAAGAAGUUGGAGAGAGAUUGGCAAAGUGCUCAUCAUUUACAUUUAAAAAUUUCAAAAGAAAUGCAAUGCCUCGAAUUCAUCUAUCGUGCAAUAAAUCUACGCACUCUCUUUCUUCUUUCGCAUGAAAGGGAUUAUGAGUUUGAGAUGCUCCUAUCGAACUCAUUCCAUCAUUUUAGAUGUUUACGAACAUUAAUUUUGGAUUGUCCAAUUGAGAAACUUCCAGAUGCAGUGGAAAAUUUGAUACAUUUAAGGUGUCUUCAUAUGUCUGAGAAUGUUUAUAUAAAAGAAUUGCCUGAAACCCUGUGUAAUCUCUAUAAUUUACAAACUUUGUAUAUCGAGAACAGUUAUGGUUUAAAGAAAUUACCACGGGGGAUGAGUAAACUAAUUAACUUAAGACAUCUUAUAUUUGAUGAAAAUAGUCAUUUGGUAUUUCCAAAAGGGUUGGGAAAUUAAUUGAUCUUAGAACAUUAUGGGUAUUCAACAUAGGUGAUAAGGAUGAUAGAGAAGGAUGUAAAUUUGGAGAAUUAAAAAAUUUGAAUCAGCUUCGAGGGACUCUUAGAAUAAAUGGGUUGGAAAAUGUGGUAGAUGUAGGUGAGGUUCAGAAUGCACAAUUGAAGAAGAAAAUACAUCUCCGUGGUUUAGUGCUACGGUUUAGCCCUCUAGAUUCACUCGAAGAUGAAGAGGAUAUAAGAAGAAUAGAGAAUGACAUAUUAGUAUUGAAUGCCUUAGAGCCACCUCCACACUUGCAAGAUUUAGAAAUUGGAGGCUACAUGGGCAACAUUAUUUAUCCUAAUUGGAUGAUGUCAUGUACCACACUGAAAAGGCUUCAACUUCUAUGGUGCGUAAAGUUAGAGCAUUUGCCUUCUUUGGGGCAGUUGCCAUUCCUUGAAGUAUUAAAGAUAUCGUGGCUUCUUAAUGUGAAGAAGGUGGGAGAUGAAUUUCUGGGAAUAGAAGAUUCCAAAAACAAGAAAGACUACGACAUCAUAUUCCCAAACCUGAAAUCUCUCGAAUUUUGGGAUUUGGACAACUGGGAAGAAUGGAUUGGGAUGGGAGAAACAGGAGAAGAAGAAGAAGAAAAGGAUAAUGGUAUUGUUACAAAUCCGAUAUUAAUAAAAAUAAUGCCACGUCUUCAGUCCUUGAAAAUUUGUAGAUGUUAUGGGCUAAAGUCUCUGCCAGACUACUUGAAGAAUUCUGGGAUUGAGCUCGAAGAACGUUACCAAAAAGGGUCCAGAGAGUCUUGGCACUUCCCAAACAUCGUAUUGAUUAGAAGUAAUGACACGUCUUCAUAUUGAUUCAAACAGUCUUUCAAAGACUGUUGAUAAUCAACACUAUGAAUUUGGACCACAAAUCAAUGACAAAGAUGAUGUUGGGGCUGGCUCGGCUGAGUGUGUGGUGGAUGAACGAGUGGAAGUAGACAAUGAUAAGGGUCUGGAGAUCUGUAAAGCAGACAAAUAAUAAGAGCAAGGUAUUGAAGUGGACAAGAUUUUUGAAGACCACAAAGGAGGAGCUGGUCGAUGACAAAAAUUGAGGACCUAGUUUUUUGAGUAAUCAUUGUGAGAGAGGAGGAAUUUAAAAGCCUCUUUUGUGGAUGUUUGAGGGUGGCUUUGGCCCUCUCUCUUUUGCUUCAUUUCUCCACUCUUGCCUCUGAAUCAAAACAAAUAAACCCUCCCUCCAACCAUCUCCCUUGCGACACUCUUCAGGGAAGGUUUUGAUGGAGUAUGGGAGUGGGAUUUGCCCAUUACAAGCCAGCCCUGUAUUGAGCAGCAAGCAAACUGUUUGAACCUAAACCAAAAAGGUUAAGAAAAGAUGUGUUGGCCAAGGAUGAAUCAGAAAGUCAGAAAUCUCUUUGGCUAUUAAUGGAAUCCUUACUUGACCAUCAUUCGUCAGUCCAGGGUGCUACAUGGGGCACAACCAUCUGGCAGCUAAGAACCUAGUCAAUUAGAAUUCUCAUUAAUGGAUUUAUAGCAUUGUAUGCUAAUUUUGAUUAGGACUUGUGCUUGAAGGAGCUAGUGGAGAAUUUGGAAAUAAGCUACCACAGGAUGUGAGUCUAUAUAUCUUAAAAAUCAAGGUAUGGAUGUUAGGGUGUAUUCUCUUGCUUUGUUGCUAAAUGUGUUGUUUGUCAUGCCUAGCAAUUGUGAGCAGAUCACCUUUGAAAGUUAGUAGAGGAAGAAUUUGAAGAGGAGCAUUUGUGUAGUAACUAAUACAACUUUAAGGCUUGGCUUUGCAGUUGGCAAUAUGCAUACUUUUAACAUUGCAGGUGAAAGAAGUGCUAGAGUGUUAAUAAUUUCAAUCUGCCAAUAGUAUAUGAAUGCUUUUGUUCAUCAUCACUUGGUGAUUCUCCAAAUAGCUUUGGAGGCUUUUAGCUGUAUGAUGACGUGUGAAAUUACAAUAUUAGUUGGCGCAUCUGGUGCACUUAGUGUACUAUUGGGAGCCAUGGUUUCCAAGCUUUUCACUAAUUGGAAAAUCUAAGCAAAUAAGCACUUGUAACUCUCGUGCUCAUUAUAGCCAUAAAUUUGCCCCUUGGAUUUCUACCACAUGUGGACAAUUCAGCUCAUAUUGAAGGAUUCCUGUCAGGAUUUCCAACUGGCUUGGAUGUGUAAGCCACAAAUAAAUUCCUUCAGUAUACGCAAUAAAGCAGAAAUCCAAGCACAAGUGUUAUCAAUUCCUUUUAUAGGAUUACAGCUUUAGUCCUCUUAGUUCUUGGGUAAUUAACUUUAACUCUCUCUGCAUUCUAAACUUCUAGUUUAAGUAUCUACCAUGGAAAUGUGAUCCAGCCCUGACUAACCUUUUUCUUUUCUUUAGUUUUAUCAUCCCCGAAGAAAUUGGCAGAUAUGCAUAUGGAUGCAUUGAGCUAUUUAAUGGUCAGAAACCAUAUAGCCAUAUGGUCUACCUUUCUGGAGCAUCAAUCAACUGAAUGAUUAUGUUUUGAUGGAGUAUGGGAGUGGGAUUUGUCUGGGUUGGUGAUUUGCCUAUUACAAGCCAACCUACUAUUGAGCAGCAAGCUGACUGUUUGAAUCUAGUACAAAGAGUUUGAGAAAGAUGUGUUGGCCAAGGAUGGAGCAGAAAAUCAAAAAUCUGAUUGGCUAUUAAUGGUAGUAUAAAGUUUGUUCUUUAAUAUUUAAAUCUUUCAGUUGUAACUCUGUCCACUUUUCUCUAUGGCCUUGUAUACUUAUAAGUUAUAUCUGAAAACCUUAAAUUACCAUCAUUGGUCAAUCCAAGGUGCUACAUGGGGCAUAGCCAUCUGGCACCUAAGAACCGCAAGUCAAUUAGUAUUAUCAUUAAUGGUCUUAUAUCUUUCCGACACAUUUCUCUUCCAUUAAUGUUUCUUGAUCAAAUCAGCCAAUUUAUAAAGAGAAGUUAAAUUAGCUUCACCUAAA